Non-coding RNA from Oryctolagus cuniculus (rabbit), 9836 nucleotides. The record is from RefSeq and is a predicted model, not a curated record. Lineage: Eukaryota; Metazoa; Chordata; Mammalia; Lagomorpha; Leporidae.
AGAGCCAUUUUUCUCGACCUGGGAUGUCCCAGGGACGUCCCACAGGCACGUCUGUCCUGGAAGCUCAGGGCACAGGCGGUGGAGCGGAGGCCUCCUGGUGGGGCGAGCCCAGGACCGGGGCCCCAGGUCCCCUCUUUAAGUUAUUUUUCCUUCACCGCUACUAAUUGAGCGCUUUUCUGAUGGGCUGUCUCAGCUGCACGCAAGGCAGGGAUUUGGGGAGGGCUGCGCCGGGGAGAGGAGCCCUCCGUUCUCCAGGCCACGCCGUCACGUGGCAGGAAGUGUCGUGCGGUGCUCUGGAAAACUCCACCGUGAAAUAUGUCAUUUCCCAAAUCUCAGAAACAGAGACGGGAGGGCUGAGGAAGAAAUUCUUUUCUGGAUUAGGCUUGGAAACCAGAUCCAAUGCAUCCUUGGCUUUUACGGCCGUGAGUCGCCAAAGCUUUCCAGAGGCCAAUGAAAACAAACGGAGACCUCCAGUAAAAGCUGUGUCGAAUGGUGUUAAUAUUAAAUACACUCGGGCGCAUACCGAUAAUGAAAUACCAAGUCAGGGAAAGAGUUGCUUAAAUAUAUAUCCCUUCUAUGAGCAACAGCUGUACCGUUUCUUUAAAAAAACAACCUGGAUGCAAUGCUUGGAGGAGAGACUAAGGUGCCGGAUCUCGCUCCCGGGGGAUGAGGAGUGGCCAGUGACCUGAGGAGCUCCCACCCCCGCUACGAGCUUGCCUGCGCAUGGUACAGGGAACAGGAGCUUCUCUCCUGUCAUCAAAUAUUUGGCUCCCUUCUUCUCACAUCCAGGACUGAAGGUGAGUGGAUCGAGGCUGUUCCGCCCCCUGCUCCAUUCCUGGAGAGGUGAUGGCUGAGGACUUUGCCUCGAGGAGUCGGAGCCACAGCUGAAGAGGUCGGCACAGAGCGAGGAGCAGCGAGGUGGGCUCCUCAAGUGUCUUGAGGGCAAAUUCUCUGGGAUUUUCCAUGUGGACAGGCAUGUCGCUGCUGACCAGAGGUAAUUCAUUGCUUUUCACCCAAUCUCUGCUCCCUUCUCUGGCCUGCUUGCCCUCCGUCUUCCACAGAGACGUCGACCGGGAGUGGCGAGAGCACGUCCGCUUGUUUCUCCGCUAAGGGACGGCGUCGUGUUUCUGUGUUGGCUGUGGGUCCUUUUAUCCUCGAUUUAAUCUACUGGUCACUGUUUGUUAGUUUAAGGAAGCUCUCUUCUGCUCCCCGUUUGCUGGAGGCGUCUACCAGGAACGUGUGUUGGAUUUUCUCCGUGGGAUGAUCCCAUGGCGCGUUGAGCGCAUGGGUCGCAGUCUCCACUCUUCUGAUGAAGGCCACACCUGAGGUUUGAACCACGUCUCCGGGUCUCAGCAGUGCGACCUUGAAUCUCCCGUGCCUCUGCUCUGUCACUGUGGCCCCUGAGGGUCCCUGCCCUCACCCUAGACGUUUAGGGACUCUUCACUAACAUCACGAGGGCUUGAGCUCCUUUCCCGUGGAUGGAACUUUGGCUCCCAGUGGCAGCAGAGGACAGCCCCCUUGUGCUUCUGCUGUGCCCUCAGCCCAGGUGCCCCCUUGGCUGCUUUUGGGAAGUUUUUGGAGGAAAGAGUGAGCCCAUGAGAAGGUGUCCCCCUGCCCAGGGGGUUCACACCAGGCCACCAGGGGGUUCACACCAGGCCACCAGGGGGUUCACACCAGGCCACCAGGAGGUUCACACCAGGCCACCGGUGGCAGGAGGCCACUCUCCAGGCUGUCACCUUGCUCACUCCACCCUUCUGACAGCGAGCGGUCCUGGGGUCCUGGGGUCUCUUCUCUCCCUGCAGGCACCGUGCCUUCCGCUGAGCCGCCGGGAUUGCUCUGCUCUGGCCUCUGCUUGCCCCGGGGACCAACAAUUGCUCUGGGUUUGAACUUGGUCCCCUUCCUGUUGAAGGGGACAGCAGGCCCCUCCCGGGCGUCCAUGUUUCAAGGUAGAGGCUACGAGUCUCUUCACCAAGUGUCUGCUGUUUCUCAGAAAUGAUGAAUGUGUAAAAUCCUGUCAAAUGCCUCCUGUGCGUCUCUUGAGAUGAUUGUGUUCUUUGCUCUAUUCGUACGGUGGCUGGUAUGUGUGUCUGUCACACGUACACAGUGUGCGUGUGCACGCAUAUUUGUCUGUCUAAAAACGUGGACUGCGUGUGGAGCAAUCACAGGCGUAGAGGGGACUGGGUUUUCAGCCAAGGGGGGUGCGUGGCUCUCCUCCCACCUCCGCCCCGUGCUCUCUGAGUAUCUCAGGGUUCCUCUCGGCCGCAGGCGCACUCCUCCCCGCAGCCCCCAGAAUCGGGACAUCGAGCCCGAGUCCUCGCCGCCUCUCCGCCCACGCCGCUGGAGUUUGCAGAUGUCAACGGCUUUCAGCGGGAAGGGCCCUGCCAGCAUCAGGCAGAGAGAGAGAGAGAGAGAGCGAGCUCCAUUUGCUGUUUCACUCGUGCAGAUGUCCAAGCAGCUGAUUCUGGACCAGAGCUGGGCAUUCAAUCUGGGUUCCCACAGGUGUGGCAGGGACCCAGGCCCCUGAACCAGAACCUGCUGCCCUCCAGAGUGUGAUGAACAGGAAGCCGGAAUCAGGAUUAUAAACAGAUGCAAAGUCUCAGGACAUCUCCAGAGGGGCCAUUUACAAGACCUCACUCGAAAAGCGAUGUGUUGCUACCAAGAAUUACGCCGUUUUCAAGGCUAUUCAAGACUGGCGGGUCAAACCCCCACGUAACUGAUCAAAUGCUGCUGCCGAGGGCCGUUGUGAGUUGCCUAAAGCUGAUGAACAUACAUCAAAAGAUCUUUUAAUUCAAAAAUUGAUUAUUAAAACCACAUUCUCUAAAUUCUCCAUUGAUACUUGUUUUAAUAAGUAAAAUUGCUUGAUCUUUAUUUUUGUGCUAAAAUCUAUUUUCUCAAGCCGAGGGGAUACAUAAUAGAAGUGUGUUGGUCCUAAUAGAUAAAAACCAGCCGUAAUCUUGUGAAUCAGCCACAGUCCGCGCAAUUAGCAAAGAAGGAAUUCUAUCCACAGAAGCCACAAUGAAUCAAAAUGGGGACAAUAUAAGUAAAAAUAAUACAGAACCUAUAGUAGAAAACUGAAAUUUUUCCCCCCAGAAGUCUCGAACAAAUAGCCAUACUGCAUUCUGGAUGGACAGACUGGGCGUGGCUGUGUUUGCGCUUUCUGUCUUGGGUUGUGGGGUUUUCAGGACGUUUCAGAGCGUCGUCUGUCUAUUCCAUCAGCAACUGACGUCUCCGCUGGCGCUGCUGCAGUCACGCACCGUCUCGUGUGGUUUUUAAUUUCUCUGCGCUGUUUCCUGAAACCCAAACAAAGAACACGAUAUGAAACCCAAACAACAAAACGAACAGCAGAGAGACCCUCAUUAAACCCCAAAAUGCGGGUAGGGGUGCCCCUUUGGCCUCAGCAAAGGCGAAGUGUGUGGGGUGCAGCGCUGAAGGGGCCGUUGGCCGGCCCUGUGCUCUGUGCAAGGAGCAGGCACCUCCCUCUGCUGGUGCAGCUGUGGACGCGGCCAGCUGGGCUGAGAGAAGCCUUCUGAGGCUCCCAGACACUGAGCCCCAGCAGGUGUGUCCGGGGGCUGGAGCCUCACUCUGGAGGGGAGACGCCAGAUUGAGCAGAGCAGGUGCGGGAGGGGCAGUGGGGAAGGGCCCUGCGGUGCAGGGGGAGGCUCGAGGGAGCCCUGUCUGGGGAGAAUCACCACAGCUGGACCCCAAGCCCCCGGGACCAAGGCCUGCAGCAGGGCAGGAAGCUCUGACCACGCUUGCCCUGGGGCAGCCGAGUGGCUGCUCAGAGGCCACAACCUGGGCCAUUCCUGGUAACCGUGGAGCCUGGAGGCCUCACUGCUGUCCCGUCCCGUCAAACCCCAUGCAGAGGAAACCUGCUCCUGAUACACUAGAAAAAAAUGUUCCAUUUAAGCAACAUAAACAUGGAUAACCUUAAAAGGAAUGUGAUUAAACACCAAGUUUUAAUUAUUUAUCUUAAAGUCAGAUGACAGAGAGAGAGAUAUCUUCUAUCUGCUGGUUCACUCCCUAAGUGGGUGCAAUAGCCCAAUCUGGGUCCGCCCAAAGCCGGGAUCCAGGAACCACACUGGUGUCCCAUUUGGGUGGUAGGGGCCCAGGUACUUGAGCCAUCAUCUGCUACCUUCCCAGGGGCUUGAAUAGGAAGCUGCACUGGGUGCAGAACAGCUGGGACUCGGAUUGUCACUCUGAUGUGGGCAGCCAAUGUGGCAGGUGGUAACUUAACCCACUGUGCUGCAACACCGGCUCCCCAUGACAUACUUGACAAGAGACACAAAUAUACACUCAAAUAUAUAACACGUAACAGUGACGCACCAGGAAAUGCAAUGACAGGGAUGAAACAAUGUAUUAUUAAAAAUUAGCUGAACUUAAUAGAGAUACUGAUUGGAAAUUUGAAAGAAUAGCACAAAACAGAAUUACGAGAUCUGAGAAAUGGAACAAUGCGAAAUGGAGGAUAUGAGACAUCAGAAAGGCAGUGACAAAAAUCACAAAAAUGUAGAUGACAUAGACAUUUCAGAAGUAGAGAUUUAACCAGAAGAAAAGCAAUAAUGAAUGUGAACACAGAAGACUCAGGUAAGAAACAGGAUAUAAAAGAAAAAUGUCAAGAAAACAUAAUGAAAAUUUGAAAAGUUGAAAAGAAAUGAUAUGGAAAGAAGACAAAGAAGAUCCAAAAUACAUUUAAUUGGUGUCUCCAAAGGUUAAAAAUGGAAGUGAAAGAAUAAAAUAGAACUAUCAGUUUUAAUCUAAUAAAACUUCCCGCGGUGCAUUGGUGAGCAAGUUGACCCGUGAUGGGAAGUCCCAUGGGAGACCCCUCAGACAUGCAAGCAUCCCUGGAGAAUCCAGGGAAAGUCUGAAUGACUUAGGAUCGAAAGCCAGACGGUCACCAAUGUUGUCGGCAGGCAGCACACCUUUAAAGAUUACAAAGAAAAGAAAAAUGACUGGAGGAUUUCACUCCCGAGCCAGCUGUCCUCAAAUAUGGAGGUAGGGACGCGGGGGGACUCAGCUGCUGGGAGCCCGUGCGCCUGCCUCCUCUCGGAUUCCACUAGAGAACUGGCUCCCGCCCGUCAGAUCGCAGUGAGAAAAGUCCAAUGUGAGUGUCAGAGAAGCCGUGGAAUAGGUGUGGCUGUAGAACUGAGAUGGAGAAAGGGCGUAGGGUGGGACACUCCCGUGUCUCCUGCGCCCUGGUGGUGUGGAAACCGUCCACGAAACAACGCAAGUGCCCAGGGGAGAGUGUGGAGAAGCCAGAGGAACCUCACCAGUGGCUCCACACGCAUCAGCUAAGAGAAAAUAAUUCUGCCUGCAGCCGACAAAUCAAGCAGUAGAAUCCUUCGUAUGGGGGCCGGCGCCGUGGCACAGCGAGUUAAUCCUCCGCCUUCACUGCCAGCAUCCCAUAUGGGCGCUGCGCUGAUUUGUGUCCCGGCUGCUCCUCUUCCGAUCCAGCUCCAUGCUGUGGCCUGGGAAAGCAGUGGAAGUUUGCCCAGGUGCCUGGGCCCCUGCUCCCACGUGGGAGACCAGGAGAAGCUCCUGGCCCCUGGGUUCAGAUUGGCGUAGCUCCGGCCAUUGCAGCCACUGGGGGAGUGAACCAGUGGAUGGAAGACCUCUCUCUCUGUCUCUCCCUCUCAACUGUCUGUAGCUCUGCCUCUCAAAUAAAUAAAUAAAAUCUUUUCUUUUAAAGAAUCCUUCGUAUGUCAGCAGUACAGAGAUGACACCAACACUGGUGUCCAGUAGCAGGAGGUGAGGAAGAGGAGGCGGAGGGCAAGAAAGUUGCUGGCUAACGUCUGUUCCCAACAGAGAGCCGGCAUACUGGGUAAAAUUUAAACACAGAAAAUGGUUGGAUUUUCUCACUCCUCACACGUACAAUACAAGUUAUGCGUUUGUAAGAUAAGUCAUGUUGCUUUCUUUUUUGAAAACAUUUAUUUGAAAGACAAAGCUACAGAGAGCAGGAGACAGAGAGAGCUUCCAUCCUCUGGUUCACUCCACAGGGGGCCGGGCCCGGCUGAAGCCAGGAGCUGCUUCUGGGUCUCCCACAUGGGUUCAGGGGCUGAAGCACGUGGGCCAUCUGCUGCUUUUCCCAGGCCAUUAACAGGGAGCUGGAUUGGAAAUGGAGCAGCCGGGACACGAACCGGGGCCCAUAUGGGAUGCUGGCCUUGUAGGUGGCAGCUUAACCCAUUAGGCCACAACGCUGGCUCCAGUCAUUUUGUUUUCUACCGGGUACCUUAGGGCCUGAUUCUCUUGCAAAGUCUGGAUUGAGAUUGCUGAUAAACAUAAUCAAAGAAGAGACCAAGGCUGCUACACAAAGAUAUUGGUAACAAAAGAAGCAGUAUAAGAAACAUCUAAGCCUUCCCAAACACAACAAUAAAUUUCUUCUAAAUUUUUCCUGACAUCUGUCAUCUCAUUCCAGACAUCCCAUAACUUCCGUCUGUUCCUCCAUUUCAUUAUACAGGAUCCUGAAGAGAAAGGUCCCAUAGUAGAAGGCUUUGUGUGCACGUGGGUGUGUAUUACAACAUGUACACACACGCGUGUGUCUACAAGCGUGUAAGUAACCACACGUGUCUAGAGCACUAUGUGAGGGACACAGCAGUAAACACAGGAACUCUGCCUUUCAAAUCAAAUCUUUUUAAAAAUUGUAACAGGUGUCUGAGUGGUUAACAAAGGGAAAAUCAUCUCAGCGCUGUGUCCAAGACAUGCACCUGCCGCACGUCCUUGAGCUAGGGAAAUAGAGGGCUGGGCAGAGGCAGGCACUCACAGAGAGCAGGGGCUGCGUUUGUGUAAUAGAUAAGGUGGGACUCAGACCAACAGCAUUAACGGGGAAAAAGGAGAACAUACGUUACAAUGCUGAAAGCCACAAUUCACAGUGAAGGUGUGCUAAUUAUGAGUUACCUACGCACUAGAUCACGCAGAAGCAGCCUCACAUACGAAACAGAAACCACAGGAGAGCAGAGAAGAAAGAAAGACACACUAGCACAGGAGAGAGAGGGACUGAUGGGACCCCAGGUCCGGGCCAGAGGCGGCUGCAAGCGGAGGGAGUGGCUGCCACAGUCCAGUGGUAUGCAGCAGGCUUCAACAGUGACCUGUGGGGGAGGGGUGGUGGCGUGUGGGAUGAGCCGCCCUGGGGACGCCUGCAGCCCGUAUCCGGUGCUGGUUCGAGUCCCAGCUGCUCCCAGCCAAUCCAGCUCUCUGCGAGUGCCCUUGGGAAGCAGCAGGUGAUGGCUCAAGUACUUCAGUCCAUGCCGGCUGUGUAGAAAACCCAAAUGGAGUUCCUGGUCCAGCCCUGGCUGUGUGGCCAUUUGAGGAAUGAACCAGCGGAUGGAAGAUAGAUAUUUCUCUCUCUCUGCUUUUCAAGUAAAUAGAUAAAUCUUUUUAAAAUGUAGUGAAUAUGGGAGAUUUGGUAGCUAUAAAUCAAAUUCUGUACCCCAUAAUAGGGAACACACCUUCUUCUCCAGUACAUAUUUACAAAAAAUGGACCAUAUACUUGUAUCAGGCUACAAUGAAAACCUCGAUACAUUCCAAAAAAUGUAAGUCAAACAAACCACCCUCACAGAUUAAAUGCAAUAAAAAUAGGAAUUAUUCAGAAAAUAAAACACAAACGGGCACUGCAACCUGAAGAAACAAAACCAUCUAUUUAAAAACUCUUAGGUCAAAGGGAAAAUCAACAAAAUGGCAGAAUUUCUAAAAUUGUAAUAAGGAAAAUGUAGUGUAUCAGAGGCUGUGGGAUACAUCUAGACUUAAAGAAUCAUAUUAUUACGUAGCUGUAUCACCAGAAAUGGAAAUAAAUGAAUUACAUCUUAGGAAACUUCAAAAAAAAUCAUUGAAAAUAGAAUUAAAAGAUGAGUUCAUUUUUGGUGCAAAAGCUUUGGAAUAUGAACACAUGAGUGGUCUUGAAUUCCACCAAAAACGUCCAUUAUAAAAACUCAGUCAUGGAUUUAAAUAUCUCUUGCACCAAAAUAAACAUCUCUUAAACCAGUUUUUCACAAACGUUUUGAAAUACUCGCAUAUAGAACCCAAAAGGUAGACAUGAACAGAUGGAGCCAACAGCAACUCAUAAAGUGCCUGGCGUUCUGGAGUUGGGUAGGGAGACACAGGCGCCCUCCUACCACGGCUGGGGCAGUUCACACUGCGGGAGGAAUCUGCAUCGCGGGCGUGGUGGGAGCUGAGGGAGCUGGGUCUGCGUGUUCGGAGACUUUUCCCUUUCUCUUGUAGAUACUGGUGCUUGCCAGUUUUGUGCAUUUUCUCUAGCCAAUUGUAGAACUCUCAGAAUUUUGCAAAACAAUCCUGUCCAUUUAAUCAGAAGUUAUUUUAAAUUUAUUGGUCCAAAGUUGCUCGCUGUAUUAUCUCAGGAAUUGGCACCGUGCGUGCAGUUGUGUGGUUUUAUGAUUACUAAGGUUCUUUGUUUCCUUUCUUGUUCCUUGAGCAGACUUUCAAAGUCUUGGCUAACUUUAUUGGUCUUUUCCAAGAAUACUUUUGUCUCUGCUGUUCAAAUCUACUCUGAGUGUUGACGUGUUUUAUACUUUGUUAAUUACUUCUUAACUUUCUCCUUUUCGUGUUGUGAAAACAAAACACAGGGAAAGUGAGAAACAAAAGACCAGCCUCACUCUGUGCCUGGCUACGAACUUGGACUUCCCAACACCCAGGACUUCCUACAGUCCCCCAGCCUCUUCCCCUCUCCAGAGGAAACCGGUUUUCUGACUUCUGCGAUAACUUCUUUGCUUUUGUCCGCGCUCCUAGACAGCAUAGUUUAAUUGCUCCUGAUUUUGAUUUUGUUUUCCUUUUUUUGAACUUUGGGCUUGGCGUCAUCCUGGUGGCUCCUUUUAUCCUUCCCAGGUUUGACUCAGCAUCGUUGUGUGCUGGUUUGCUUCUGGUCUUCGACUCUAGAAAUCACAGUGGAUUUGUCUGCUCUGUGGAAGUUUUGCUGUUUGACUGCUCUGCGUGGUGUGGCUCUGUGCUCUCUCGUUCGUUGUCCCGGUGGGGAUGUGUGCGUGAGCUUCUCCAGGGUCUUUACCUCCAACGAGAGCUAAAGAUGGACCACUGGGCCCUGUUUCUGUUUCAGCCUCCUAAGUGAUGCCAGUGGGAUCUCAACACAGGUGGCCCCUGGCUCCCAAGACACCUGCCAAUCCCCCAACUAGGAGGGCAGUGAUUCUAGUGUUGGGGGCUUGGCUGAUCUCUCUGAGUCUGCACUGGCAUUUGCUACGUUAUUGAUAAUUCUUCCAUUCAGUUAAGGAGCUUCAAAGUUCUCCACUGUUUUUGGUUGAUUUUAGGGGAAGGGUUGGUCCAGAUAACUUCAUGUAUGAUUCUAGAAAUAGGAGUCUGCUUCCAUCGGUAAGGAUUUCUUUUUCCUAUUUACUUGAGAGCUGCUGAGUUAUCUUUCUGACUUCUUGAACCGAAUGCUUAGUUCCUUUACUUUUAGUCUUUUUUCUCCGAAAAUGUGCUCAAAGCUUCACAUAUCCUCUGAGGGCUGUUUUGCCUGUGCCCAUGGCUUGGGAUGUGGAAUAUUCUCAUUUUUAAGCUAUUUUCUCUUGCAUUCAUGAGUUUUUCAGAGCUUCUGCCCCAUAUUUUUGAGUAGGUUGACGUUUUGGGGCCAUCUUUCUGUUAUUCAUUUCUAGUUCUGUUGCUUUGGGUUUAGAACAUGCGUUUUCUGUGAUUUCUACUUCUGUGCAAUCUAUGGAGUUUUCUUUAUGCAUUAAAACAGUGGAAAUAUUUUCAAGUAAACCUUCCACAAGUGUAUAAAAAAAAGCAUAAAUUCACGGACAAAGCUCUCUUUGUGGGUUUUCAGUCAAGCAUUUAAGUUUAUUUUUUUUUACAAAGAUUUAUUUAUUUAUUUGCAAGUCAGA